CCCGCCAUGACAGUAGAAUUUCUUGAGGUGCUGCCUUGUUGCGGUAGAUUGCUUUGUUAGUUUCAUUACUUUUUUCAUAUCUAAUAACAAGAGAGAAUCUUCUAUUCAAACGCCUUGUGUUGUAGUGAUGAGCACUCGCAAAUUAAAAUGUUGAUGUAGUGUGACUGGAAUGGUGAUUUAGCAUCGAAUGGAUCAACGGAACGCCAAACUCGGAUGACGCACUUGAAGUAACGCUCAAAAUAAAAUACGAUUCAAAUGUAACUUCGAAGAAGUGAUUUUGGAAAGCAAGCGAGUCUCCGGGAAAGGAAACGAUCUCCCUAAAAUAAAGAGAAGCUUUAUUGACCACGCAGUAAACGAGGAAAGAACCGGCACAUGAACAUCAUAGGAGGACCAAAACUUCCAUAAGACAGGUGGCCAUUUCUAUGUCUUCUAUGGUAAAUGGAUACAACAUCAAUAACAAUACCAACUUAACAUAAGAAUGUAACUGGACCGACCGAAGACAGAGCUCGAAAUACUGUUGGUUCAGUUUAACAAGUCUCGAACUUGCAAGAGGGCCAAGAACGCGUGAAGAGGAAGUUAUUUGAAACGACUGCUAAUCAAGGUGAUAUCACCAUGUUUGUCUGGAAUACAGUGCUGUAAUCCAAAUAUAUCUUACUCACUUUCAGAAAUCCCAUAACUACUUUAAUAUAAUAAAGUUAAACGCAAAGGUAAACAAGAUGCAAUCGAAACCCUUCAAAACCCGAAACCAAAAGCCUUCAAACUGACCAAACCGACCAUCCAAGCCCUUCAGUUGUUGCCACUAAAAGUGUGAAAAGUUAUUCAGUGAGAGGCGCCUUCGGGUCUAUCAGCCUGUACACAAAGGACUAAAUCUGAUCAGAUUAACUGGUUACGUGCUGAUUUUUUUGGUAAUUACCACAACUGAUGACAUUAUUCAUUAAAUUGUCGUGUGUCCUCAACAGACGAUGCCGACUUCGUCCUUGUGAUAAUCUCUUAAGCUGUUCCAGACCAAACAACUAUGCAUUAUGCAUUUGCUAGACUAUAAUGAGUUCUGUUGGUUUGUUCUGUUCAAACAUUAAUUGUUUGCAAUAAUGCUAACAAUAAUAUUAAUGAUCAUAGUAGUGGUCAUA
Long non-coding RNA from Pocillopora verrucosa, 1127 nucleotides. RefSeq lists it as uncharacterized. NCBI's taxonomy places the organism in Eukaryota, Metazoa, Cnidaria, Anthozoa, Scleractinia, Pocilloporidae. The record is from RefSeq and is a predicted model, not a curated record.